This 76-nucleotide transfer RNA is filed under the name Chlorobium sp. RNAcentral's name for it is "tRNA-Gln". It matches the Rfam family "tRNA". From Rfam's summary of the family: Transfer RNA (tRNA) molecules are approximately 80 nucleotides in length. Their secondary structure includes four short double-helical elements and three loops (D, anti-codon, and T loops). Further hydrogen bonds mediate the characteristic L-shaped molecular structure. tRNAs have two regions of fundamental functional importance: the anti-codon, which is responsible for specific mRNA codon recognition, and the 3' end, to which the tRNAs corresponding amino acid is attached (by aminoacyl-tRNA synthetases). tRNAs cope with the degeneracy of the genetic code in two manners: having more than one tRNA (with a specific anti-codon) for a particular amino acid; and 'wobble' base-pairing, i.e. permitting non-standard base-pairing at the 3rd anti-codon position. Lineage: Bacteria; Pseudomonadati; Chlorobiota; Chlorobiia; Chlorobiales; Chlorobiaceae. The record is from RNAcentral.
UGAGGAGUGGCCAAAUUGGUAAGGCACCUGAUUCUGGAUCAGACAAUUGCAGGUUCGAGUCCUGCCUCCUCAGCAA